Molecule: ribosomal RNA, 497 nt
Filed under: uncultured bacterium
Lineage: Bacteria
Description: partial 16S ribosomal RNA
Rfam family: Bacterial small subunit ribosomal RNA
Source: RNAcentral
GAUGAACGCUGGCGGCGUGCCUAAUACAUGCAAGUCGAGCGAACGGACGAGAAGCUUGCUUCUCUGAUGUUAGCGGCGGACGGGUGAGUAACACGUGGAUAACCUACCUAUAAGACUGGGAUAACUUCGGGAAACCGGAGCUAAUACCGGAUGAUAUUUUGAACCGCAUGGUUCAAAAGUGAAAGACGGUCUUGCUGUCACUUAUAGAUGGAUCCGCGCUGCAUUAGCUAGUUGGUAAGGUAACGGCUUACCAAGGCAACGAUGCAUAGCCGACCUGAGAGGGUGAUCGGCCACACUGGAAAUGAGACACGGUCCAGACUCCUAAGGGAGGCAGCAGUAGGGAAUCUUCCGCAAUGGGCGAAAGCCUGACGGAGCAACGCCGCGUGAGUGAUGAAGGUCUUCGGAUCGUAAAACUCUGUUAUUAGGGAAGAACAUAUGUGUAAGUAACUGUGCACAUCUUGACGGUACCUAAUCAGAAAGCCACGGCUAACUACGUG